CAAUAAAAAGCUUAAUUAGUAAAGUAUUUCAUUUACAUUGAAAAGAAAUUUGUGCAAAUCAAUUUAAAUUGA
This 72-nucleotide transfer RNA is filed under the name Culex pipiens pipiens. RNAcentral describes it as "tRNA-Val". It matches the Rfam family "tRNA". Rfam says of the family: Transfer RNA (tRNA) molecules are approximately 80 nucleotides in length. Their secondary structure includes four short double-helical elements and three loops (D, anti-codon, and T loops). Lineage: Eukaryota; Metazoa; Arthropoda; Insecta; Diptera; Culicidae. The record is from RNAcentral.